GGCGCUAUAGUGUAGUGGUUAUCACUCGAGAUUCUGAUUCCAGUGUUCUCGUAACCCUGGUUCGAGCCCAGGUAGUGCCU
RNAcentral lists this transfer RNA (80 nucleotides) under Collybia nuda. RNAcentral describes it as "Lepista nuda tRNA". It matches the Rfam family "tRNA". From Rfam's summary of the family: Transfer RNA (tRNA) molecules are approximately 80 nucleotides in length. Their secondary structure includes four short double-helical elements and three loops (D, anti-codon, and T loops). Further hydrogen bonds mediate the characteristic L-shaped molecular structure. tRNAs have two regions of fundamental functional importance: the anti-codon, which is responsible for specific mRNA codon recognition, and the 3' end, to which the tRNAs corresponding amino acid is attached (by aminoacyl-tRNA synthetases). tRNAs cope with the degeneracy of the genetic code in two manners: having more than one tRNA (with a specific anti-codon) for a particular amino acid; and 'wobble' base-pairing, i.e. permitting non-standard base-pairing at the 3rd anti-codon position. The record is from Rfam by way of RNAcentral. Lineage: Eukaryota; Fungi; Basidiomycota; Agaricomycetes; Agaricales; Clitocybaceae.